GACGAACGCUGGCGGCGUGGAUUAGGCAUGCAAGUCGAACGGUAUCAUCCUUUCGGGGGUGAGAGAGUGGCGAACUGGUGAGUAACACGUAGGUUAUCUACCCUCAAGACGGGGACAACCCAGGGAAACUUGGGCUAAUACCGGAUGUGAGCAACUUUUAGUUGUUUGAAAGGUGGCGUAAGCUGUCGCUUGGGGAUGAGCCUGCGUCCUAUUAGUUAGUUGGUGAGGUAACGGCUCACCUAGGCAAUGAUAGGUAGGCGGCCUUAACGGGUGGUCGCCCACACUGGGAUUGAGAUACGGCCCAGACUCCUACGGGAGGCAGCAGUCGAGAAUAGUCUACAAUGGUCGGAAGACUGAUAGUGCGACGCCGCGUGAGUGAGGAAGGCCCUCGGGUCGUAAAGCUCUGUCAGGUGGGAAGAAAUCGAUGAAGGUGAACAACCUCCAUCCUUGACGGUACCACCAGAGGAAGCACCGGCUAACUCCGUGCCCAGCAGCCCGCGGUAAUCCUAGUCUACG
This 516-nucleotide ribosomal RNA is filed under the name uncultured bacterium. RNAcentral describes it as "bacterial SSU rRNA". It matches the Rfam family "Bacterial small subunit ribosomal RNA", at positions 28 to 536 of the family's 1533-position model. The record is from RNAcentral.